UAUUUGUGGUGUCACGUGUAUGUGGUC
Molecule: non-coding RNA, 27 nt
Filed under: Homo sapiens (human)
Lineage: Eukaryota; Metazoa; Chordata; Mammalia; Primates; Hominidae
Source: RNAcentral